This 338-nucleotide RNase P RNA is filed under the name Mycoplasmataceae bacterium. Its description in RNAcentral is "RNase P RNA component class B". It matches the Rfam family "Bacterial RNase P class B". Rfam says of the family: Ribonuclease P (RNase P) is a ubiquitous endoribonuclease, found in archaea, bacteria and eukarya as well as chloroplasts and mitochondria. Its best characterised activity is the generation of mature 5'-ends of tRNAs by cleaving the 5'-leader elements of precursor-tRNAs. Lineage: Bacteria; Bacillati; Mycoplasmatota; Mollicutes; Mycoplasmatales; Mycoplasmataceae. The record is from RNAcentral.
GUAAGUGAAUUAACUGCUGUUGUUCUUACGAACAAUAGAGGAAAGUCCAUGCUUGCACAAGCUGCGAUGCUUGUAACGAUUCUGCUAAUCUUAAGAUGAUUAGACGCCUAAUAAGUUUGGCGAUGACGGAUGGUAUACCGAACUGAUCUAAUUAAGCGGUAUAUCAGCCAUAAAGUGCAACAGUGACGAAUUGAUCCGAAAUGGUCAGGUGAAACGGGCAAACUCCAGAAGCAAGAAACUCAGUCAAUGGUCGAGGAAUCAGUAAGAAGAAAACGAACAACUUACUGAACACUAACGUGUAGAUAAAUAGUUAAUUAAACAGAACAUGGCUUACCGCU